Molecule: non-coding RNA, 27 nt
Filed under: Mus musculus (house mouse)
Lineage: Eukaryota; Metazoa; Chordata; Mammalia; Rodentia; Muridae
Source: RNAcentral
UGUCUUGAAGGAGAACAGCGGCAGUGG